This is a long non-coding RNA of Canis lupus familiaris (dog), 571 nucleotides long. RefSeq lists it as uncharacterized. The record is from RefSeq and is a predicted model, not a curated record. NCBI's taxonomy places the organism in Eukaryota, Metazoa, Chordata, Mammalia, Carnivora, Canidae. The transcript is spliced from 2 exons.
CUGACCUAAAUGGUAAAGAACAGCAUUAGCAGUUCCAUCAUUGGGAUGCUCAGAGUUGUCUAACCAGUCACAGAAUACAUAACUAAAUGAAAAAUAGACAGGAGUUGUGAUUAGUAAUGAAUGAAGGUAUUGAGGAGGCCAGCUGAACUCUCAUCUCUACUUGCUAUAGGCUGAUUGUCCUAUUAUUAUUGAAGCCCUAACCACUAAUGUGAUGGUAUUUAGAAGUGAGGCCUUUGCCAAAUUAUCAGGUCACAUUGGCAGAUCCUCAUGAAUGAGAUUAGUGCCCUUAUAAGAAGAGACACAGACAGAUAACCUGUCUCUCUACCACGUGAAGAAAUGACAAGAAGAUAUCUUUCUACGAACCAGGAAGAGGGGCUUCAAUGGAAACCAAUCAGCCAACACCUUGACUUUGGACUUUCCAGUCCCCAGAAUGCUGAGAAAUUUCUGUUCUUUAAGCUCCAUAAGCCCAUGACAUUUUUUUAGACCAUGUGAAGCCAUGCUGAUCUUUGUCUGAGCUGCAGUCCUCCUGCAGGUAUGCUUGGUGUCCCAAUUAAACAGCUCCUAAACCGUU